This is a long non-coding RNA of Plutella xylostella (diamondback moth), 1482 nucleotides long. RefSeq lists it as uncharacterized. NCBI's taxonomy places the organism in Eukaryota, Metazoa, Arthropoda, Insecta, Lepidoptera, Plutellidae. The record is from RefSeq and is a predicted model, not a curated record.
GAUAAGCCAUGGCGUGAAACGUCAAAAAGGAGAUGUCAAUGUCAUUGUCAAGGAAGGGGGGAGUUGAUUUGAAUAUGGAGUCGUGUUCUUGUAUUUUCUGAUUUAAUUUGUUUGUUAUCGAUAUAAAUCCUCAUGUUUUCAAGUUGUAUUAAUGAUUUAUGGUAAAACAAACCUAUUUCACAAAUGAGUUUACUUUUUGUGUCACCUUUUCCUUCUGGUUUUAACAGAUUUGUAAAUCUAUUUUCAUCACAGAAAAAAACGAACGCUAUAAUAAAUAAAAUUAUUUUACUACCUAACUGGACCAAUCAAAGUCAAAAUCGGUCAAAAAUCAUCAUGAAUCGGUGAAUUGUCUAUGACAGCAACCUAUUUGGGCAUUUCAAAUCUCAAUGUAAACAAAAUGUUAUCCAAACAAACAGACAGCAGAAAGUGAAGAAUUACAGUAAACAAGACUUUUACCUACUUGGAUAACAGCGCAAGCGUCCAAAUGACAACAGAUGGUACAGACAUCUGAAAAGAAAAAAGAGCUGCAGCAAUGGGAAACAUCACAUCCUGCGAGUCUACAGGCCAGAGUGUGAGUAAGGACACUCCAAAAAAGCCGUCAUACAUAGCUAACAACAUCAAACCCAUCACUGAAGAACCCACAUAUCCUACUGCGUGAGAGACUGCCAGUGAUACCAGGUCAGCUAUUUCUACACAACACUCAGUUCGGCUACAUUGUUGCUGGCACUGCACCAUUGAACAGCGAGGGAUGUUCAUCACUACCAAGUAACUUUUGCAACUUUCCUAUUUUUUCGGGAAUACCGCCGCUGCCCCCGGGCCAUGCCUCUAUAAUGAGAAGAUCACCUGGGUGAAGAUGACGAUGCAACAUCGACAUGUCGAAGUACCCAGCGAAUGUGACGACAAAACUACUAAAUGGAUUUUGAUCAACAGACAACCUGGAUAGGCAACUUUUUAAAAAUCCUAGAAUCACUACCAGAAAACUUUUUAGCUCUAAGUUUUAUUUUAACAGUUACUAGAAAAUAAAACCGAGAGAGAGAGAAAACAGCUGUAUUUAUUUUAACUCUUUGGACACAUGGCGCCAUCUGUUGCCGAGUAGCGGUAAUAAUAGCGACACCUGUUGUCGAGUAGUAGUAACAAUGAGUUAGUGCAGUGAGAGUGAAGUGAACGUAACAAUUAUAUUAUUUAUAUAUAUUUUAAUAUUUAUAGGUUCUAUUUAAGUUUAGGUUUAUUAGCAGAUCACAUUUUAUUCUGUUUUAUUUAAUAAAGUAUGCUCUUACUUAAAAGAGCUAUGAUAUAAUUCAAGCUAUCGAUUUUAACUGUUACUUGUAUCCAUAUUCUGAUUGAUAAAUAAUAAAUUUAGAAAUAUCAUUGUGAUUUUAAUCAUACCUACUUAUAACAAUAUAAAAUAAUUUAACAUGAUUGUGUUGAUGUAGUUUCUAAUGUGGAUUUGUAUACUUAAAAUAAAAUAAAUUUGUCUUGGCA